This is a long non-coding RNA of Alosa sapidissima (American shad), 1307 nucleotides long. RefSeq lists it as uncharacterized. NCBI's taxonomy places the organism in Eukaryota, Metazoa, Chordata, Actinopteri, Clupeiformes, Clupeidae. The record is from RefSeq and is a predicted model, not a curated record. The transcript is spliced from 6 exons.
CGACUUUAUCUCUCAUAAUUAAGAGAUAUAAAGUCUGCCUGACCUUGCGUAGCGAGUCGCAUCACUUCCUUCCAGUUCGAAACUUGGACCUCGUUGUCAGAGUUGGACCUGCAAGUGGCAUGUACACUGUCUCAUCUCAGUCCCUCUCCUAAUCCAGCAAGCACAUAUUCAGCCAACGGAUGCUCUACGGAAGGAGAAGAAACCCAUGAUUAACACAGGAUGGAUGGGCUGUGUGACUUCUUGAGGUUGCGGAAUGUACUGGAGGAAACCAUACAGCAACUAGAAAAGGAUAAGAUUGAUCCCAAUGUCCUACUUGUCAUGACAGAUGCCCAGUUAACUACGUAUCUACCAUCCUAUGGGGACCGACUGGCUGUCCUUGGAUAUUGCAGACGGAAGGGAAAUUGUCCUGUUGCCCGCAAAUCUAAACUUUUUGAGCGACUGAAAGCCAAGAUAUCAAGAAGUGGGGAUCGUGAACAUUUGUCUGAGAAGUGCUAAGACAAGCCUAGCCUACGCAUUACUGGUCUUACCGUCCGGCUGUAUUUUUCGUCUUUUGGGCAGCCGUGAUCUGGACAUCAUUUGCUUGAAGCUCAACCCAUUCACUCACUCAAAAAUGCUGAGGAAUAUCUUUUCCUUCGACAUUGAGGUCGUUCUUAUAGACCUCCCUUAGCUGUCGCUUCCAAAAUGGUGUCAGCGUCUUCAUCAAACUGGAGCCACUCCUCCUUGCAAGCUUGGGGCCACUUAACAGUGUUCUGUGGAUCUGUAUGGUUCUGGGGCAUGUGUCACCUGGAGGUUCUGAGCUCUGUGGGGUGACUUCUGGUAUGGCUCCUCCUACGUCUCACUGCACAGAGGUAGUCCCUGUGUGUUGACACCGGCACCAUCUACAUUUCCUGCGGAUCUUCAGGCCAUGGGUUUUACACACCUUGCCAGUCAAUACUCUUUUCUUCUUUGAAUCAUUAUUGGUGAAAUGAUUGAACUACUACUGUGCUUUGUUCUAGCGAGUCUUGUACUGUGCUUUGUUCUAGUUUUGGGAUCUUCAAAAAGCGCCUAAAGACUCAUCUGUUUACCUUGUAUCUAACAGAGUCCUUACAGAGUUGUGGUUUGUAUAUGUUUAUGUUUAUGGUUAUUAUUCUGUUAAAUUUUAGUCUAUAUUACUAUUAUUUGUAUUCUUUUUUUAAUGUAGGGGUAUAUGAGUACAUUAAACUGUCAGUGCAAUGUUUAUUGAUGUCAAGGCCGUAGCCAUAGGAUCAACAUUCAACAUUCUAUUGUAUCUGUCUGGCAUUGAGGGAUGAAUAAAUUACAACCACAAC